AACGAACGCUGGCGGCAUGCCUAACACAUGCAAGUCGAACGAGACCUUCGGGUCUAGUGGCGCACGGGUGCGUAACGCGUGGGAACCUGCCCUUAGGUUCGGAAUAACUCCCCGAAAGGGGUGCUAAUACCGGAUAAUGUCUUCGGACCAAAGAUUUAUCGCCCUUGGAUGGGCCCGCGUUGGAUUAGCUAGUUGGUAGGGUAAAAGCCUACCAAGGCGACGAUCCAUAGCUGGUCUGAGAGGAUGAUCAGCCACACUGGGACUGAGACACGGCCCAGACUCCUACGGGAGGCAGCAGUGGGGAAUAUUGGACAAUGGGCGAAAGCCUGAUCCAGCAAUGCCGCGUGAGUGAUGAAGGCCUUAGGGUUGUAAAGCUCUUUUACCCGGGAUGAUAAUGACCGUACCGGGAGAAUAAGCUCCGGCUAACUCCGUG
Molecule: ribosomal RNA, 433 nt
Filed under: uncultured bacterium
Lineage: Bacteria
Description: partial 16S ribosomal RNA
Rfam family: Bacterial small subunit ribosomal RNA
Source: RNAcentral